UUCCAGGAUUUUAAUACGGGCAUCAUCUCCACAUUUGCAUGAAAGUAUUUCCAGAUAAGGCAGCUCCAGAAUUCUGGAAAGGUUGAUUAGGAAAAAGUAGUAACAGCAACACAUUAUGCAGAGCAAGCAUAAACUGCCAGUAAUUAACCUUUACAAACAGACACAAAAGAAUCAAUCAUACAAAGCUGUGUAUGCACAAGCACAAUGUUCAAUGUCAUUAUUUAUGGUAUUUGUACAUAUGACACCUUAUGCAUGUCUGAAUUCAAACUGGCUACAAUUCAUGGUACAGUACUAACUUGAGGUAUUAUAGAGUUUUAAAUAUUGAUCAAGCAUCAGCCAGCUCACUACAAGUCUACAAUGUACAGGGAUACAUUGGGCAAUCAACACUUCCAGACUGAAAAUAACUUCACUUUUUUAAGUAAGAUUUGCUUUCU
Molecule: long non-coding RNA, 434 nt
Filed under: Elaeis guineensis (African oil palm)
Lineage: Eukaryota; Viridiplantae; Streptophyta; Magnoliopsida; Arecales; Arecaceae
Description: long non-coding RNA (EGUI_LNC008775)
Source: RNAcentral